CACGUAGGGCGCGAGCGUUGUCCGGAAUUAUUGGGCGUAAAGAGCUCGUAGGCGGCCUGUUGCGUCCGCUGUGAAAGCCCGGGGCUUAACCCCGGGUCUGCAGUGGAUACGGGCAGGCUAGAGGUAGGUAGGGGAGAAUGGAAUUCCCGGUGUAGCGGUGAAAUGCGCAGAUAUCGGGAGGAACACCGGUGGCGAAGGCGGGACUCUGGGCCGAUACUGACGCUGAGGAGCGAAAGCGUGGGGAGCAAACAGG
This 253-nucleotide ribosomal RNA is filed under the name uncultured bacterium. RNAcentral describes it as "partial 16S ribosomal RNA". It matches the Rfam family "Bacterial small subunit ribosomal RNA", at positions 524 to 776 of the family's 1533-position model. The record is from RNAcentral.